ACGGAGGGUGCAAGCAUUAAUCGGAUUUAUUGGGCGUAAAGGGCGCGUAGGCGGAUUUGUAAGCCAGAUGUGAAAUUCCGAAGCUCAACUUCGGAGCUGCAUUUGAAACUACAAGACUAGAGGAGUGGCGGAGAAAAUGGAAUUCCACGUGUAGCGGUGAUAUGCGUAGAUAUGUGGAAGAACACCUGUGGCGAAAGCGGUUUUCUAGCUUAUUCCUGACGCUGAGGCGCGAGAGCAAGGGGAGCAAACAG
RNAcentral lists this ribosomal RNA (251 nucleotides) under uncultured prokaryote. RNAcentral describes it as "partial 16S ribosomal RNA". It matches the Rfam family "Bacterial small subunit ribosomal RNA", at positions 525 to 775 of the family's 1533-position model. The record is from RNAcentral.